GCCUGGGUGGCUCAGUUAGUUGAGCAUCUGACUCCAGCUCAGGUCAUGAUCUCAUGGUCGUGGGUUCAAGCCCCAUGUCAGGCU
Hyaena hyaena (striped hyena) is the source of this 84-nucleotide non-coding RNA. The record is from the annotation of a RefSeq genome assembly. Lineage: Eukaryota; Metazoa; Chordata; Mammalia; Carnivora; Hyaenidae.